This 565-nucleotide long non-coding RNA is filed under the name Astyanax mexicanus (Mexican tetra). RNAcentral describes it as "lncRNA (ENSAMXG00005020803.1)". Lineage: Eukaryota; Metazoa; Chordata; Actinopteri; Characiformes; Acestrorhamphidae. The record is from RNAcentral.
CAGAAAGCAAGAGUUCCAAAAGCAGCAGUUUAGAAGAAGGCUAUUAGAAGAAGGCUAGUUUCUGCUUUUGAUCAGAACUACUUCCUGCUAAACAAGUGCGAUGGAGUCAGUUUCAGUAAUGAAUCUGAACCAGAGGCCAGUUCAGCGCCGAUUUAAGCUGAACCGAGAGAGCUGGAUUAAUACCCCCCAGCAUGGGCAGAACCAGCGUCCUUCUAGAAGGGACAGAAAACAUGCCCGCAGAAUCUCACCUGUUGACUCUGAGAUUAAUCAGACUAUCAACAGGGGGAUUAAACACAGGCUGCAGAACGAGGAUGAAGUCAUCCGGGAGAGUUCUGCAAAAAGGAAGGUGUUGGAGAAGACAGCAGGGAGACUUGAGAUCACCAUUAAUCAAUCCACCAGGAAGUGGAAGAGCCAUGACUCUGCUAAGGAUACAGCACCACAGAAGAAACCAGAGGCCUAUCUGAACACAGAUUCCUUCGUUGGUGCUCCAAUUAAGAGGCGUGGCCGCAAGCGUCGCCGUAGGCCGAAGACAGCCUACGAUCCAAGUCCUGCAAAACAAGCUUGA